This 439-nucleotide ribosomal RNA is filed under the name uncultured bacterium. RNAcentral describes it as "partial 16S ribosomal RNA". It matches the Rfam family "Bacterial small subunit ribosomal RNA", at positions 339 to 795 of the family's 1533-position model. The record is from RNAcentral.
CUACGGGCGGCAGCAGUGGGGAAUAUUGCACAAUGGACGAAAGUCUGAUGCAGCAACGCCGCGUGGAGGAUGACACUUUUCGGAGCGUAAACUCCUUUUAUAUAAGAAGAUAAUGACGGUACUAUAUAAAUAAGCACCGGCUAACUCCGUGCCAGCAGCCGCGGUAAUACGGAGGGUGCAAGCGUUACUCGGAAUCACUGGGCGUAAAGAGCGUGUAGGCGGAUAGAUAAGUCAGGAGUGAAAUCCUAUGGCUCAACCAUAGAACUGCUCUUGAAACUGUCUAUCUAGAAUAUGGGAGAGGUAGAUGGAAUUUCUGGUGUAGGGGUAAAAUCCGUAGAGAUCAGAAGGAAUACCGAUUGCGAAGGCGAUCUACUGGAACAUUAUUGACGCUGAGACGCGAAAGCGUGGGGAGCAAACAGGAUUAGAUACCCCCGUAGUC